This is a long non-coding RNA of Homarus americanus (American lobster), 545 nucleotides long. RefSeq lists it as uncharacterized. NCBI's taxonomy places the organism in Eukaryota, Metazoa, Arthropoda, Malacostraca, Decapoda, Nephropidae. The record is from RefSeq and is a predicted model, not a curated record. The transcript has 3 exons.
CUGUCCCAGUCUGUUUUGCUCAUUUUCAGCCUCUUUUAUUGGUAUCUAUAUGGGGCUUGUUGGCAGUGUUAGUAUAAUUGGCAGAUGGUCACUGCCUGUGAGAGGUCCUUGUUUUAUAUAAAGUUUUGGCACGAAAUCAUCUACUGAGUGUCCGCAGGAUAACAUCGUGUACACGGAUUGGCAGCGAGAAAACUACUUCAGAGCGGUGGUGGAGGAGUUGGGUGAGGAGCAGGGACCUCUGGGGGUGGAGUAUGACCACCUCACCCUUCAUGCCUCACGCACCCUCCAACACCACCUCCCUCACAGCAACAAACUGGUCGACGUCUCCAGUGGCACCAUGAAGAUGCGUAUGAUCAAGAGUCACGAGGAGAUAGCUGUUAUUAAGAACUGCGCAGCCACGUCAGACGUGGGUGGUUGGGCGUGUGCUGCAGCACUAGGAGAGGGCGUCCCUGAGUACGAAAUAGCUCUGGCAGGCACCCGCGCCAUGAUCAACAACAUCGCUAAACUCUACCCAGACAGUGAACUGAUGGACACGUGGGUGUGGU